Molecule: long non-coding RNA, 203 nt
Filed under: Panax ginseng (ginseng)
Lineage: Eukaryota; Viridiplantae; Streptophyta; Magnoliopsida; Apiales; Araliaceae
Description: long non-coding RNA (PGIN_LNC002380)
Source: RNAcentral
GAUGUUGAUCUAAUUUGUGAUGUAGGUUCUCGGCUUUACACAGCCUAGAGGGAACUGGUUCCGCAAUCACUCCACAUACCAGGCUCUGCAUCCUGAUUAUAGAGCGAUUGUGCAUGGCUGGGGCUUCAGAGCAUUCUUUUCCAUCCUUCCCCGUCGUUGUCCCUGGGCCUACCUAAGGACAUUGUCUGAGCGCUUGUUUCACC